RNAcentral lists this ribosomal RNA (465 nucleotides) under uncultured bacterium. RNAcentral's name for it is "partial 16S ribosomal RNA". It matches the Rfam family "Bacterial small subunit ribosomal RNA", at positions 28 to 507 of the family's 1533-position model. The record is from RNAcentral.
GACGAACGCUGGCGGCGUGCUUAACACAUGCAAGUCGAACGGAAAGGCCCUGCUUGCAGGGUACUCGAGUGGCGAACGGGUGAGUAACACGUGGGUGAUCUGCCCUGCACUUCGGGAUAAGCCUGGGAAACUGGGUCUAAUACCGGAUAGGAGCCAUUUUUAGUGUGAUGGUUGGAAAGUUUUUUCGGUGUAGGAUGAGCUCGCGGCCUAUCAGCUUGUUGGUGGGGUAAUGGCCUACCAAGGCGGCGACGGGUAGCCGGCCUGGGAGGGUGGACGGCCACAUUGGGACUGGGAUACGGCCCAGACUCCUACGGGGGGCAGCAGUGGGGAAUAUUGCACAAUGGGCGCAAGCCUGAUGCAGCGACGCCGCGUGGGGGAUGACGGCCUUCGGGUUGUAAACUCCUUUCGCUAGGGACGAAGCUUUUUGUGACGGUACCUAGAUAAGAAGCACCGGCUAACUACGUG